UGGGGAAUUUUGGACAAUGGGGGCAACCCUGAUCCAGCAACGCCGCGUGAGGGAUGAAGGUCUUCGGAUUGUAAACCUCUUUUGUGAGGGAAGAACUGUCACGUGAAGAACGCGAUUUGACGGUACCUCGCGAAUAAGCCACGGCUAACUUCGUGCCAGCAGCCGCGGUAAUACGAAGGUGGCAAGCGUUACUCGGAAUUACUAGGUGUAAAGCGCAGGUAGGUGGUUGGAUAAGUCUGUUAUGAAAUCUCCCGGCUUAACUGGGAGCGGUUAAUGGAUACUGUCCGGCUCGAGUGUGGGAGAGGUAACUGGAAUUCCAGGUGUAGCGGUGAAAUGCGUAGAUAUCUGGAGGAACACCAAUGGCGAAAGCAGGUUACUGGCCCAAUACUGACACUGAGCUGCGAAAGCUAGGGGAGCAAACAGGAUUAGAUACCCCCGUAGUCCCUGAGCGGGCUGGCAAGGCGCAU
This 467-nucleotide ribosomal RNA is filed under the name uncultured bacterium. RNAcentral's name for it is "bacterial SSU rRNA". It matches the Rfam family "Bacterial small subunit ribosomal RNA", at positions 355 to 825 of the family's 1533-position model. The record is from RNAcentral.